GUCAGAGGGGAAGAAAGCUUAGUGUCGGAAUAACAAGAGGAGUUAAAGCCUCGGCGAAUGGGCGGAACCGGUGCCCCUUCGCCCCGCCCCGCGGCGGAUUUUUUUUUUUUUUUUUAAUUCGUCUAUGCGCUUGCGCAACUGCUCCCUUUGGGAACCUGGCGGGCAAGGUUUGUUCCCCCCGACCCACCUAACCGAGGACGCGGAGACUUCCAAUAGUGUCUCUUAUUAUUCAGUGAUAAGAAAAGCAGAUGCCCACAGAGGACCAUCAUGGCUCUUCCUUGAACUUCAUGGCUCUUCCUAGAACCCUCAAUUCACCUUUCCAGAUGCUAUUUGGAGAAUGGUGCUUGGAUGAUCUCCUGAUGGCUCACAGCCUUGAUUUGCAUGUUUGAUCAGCUCUUGUCCCUGAGCUGCCAACCCUAAGACUUUGGACAGAUUAUUUUACUUUACUCAGCUGGGAAAAAGUGGACUCAAGAACAGACUUCGAGGAAGAUGGUGGAGUACUGAAUAGCACUCCAAGAUUUGGUGUCCAGCUGCUGGAAUAUAACAACAUGAAGAAGUGAAGAAGAAAAGUGGGUCACCAGGACCCAGCAAAGAUCUGAAGAACCCACCAGCAGUUUGGAUCCCAGUUAACUUAACUGAGGAAUGGAAAGGGCAGCGACCCCCCUCUUCGAUUUGCUGCUCCACCCCUGCUGCCGUAAACGUGAUUUAGUCAUUUCAGCCAUUGUUGCCAUCAUAACAUCCACUGUUGCUUCAGUAUCUGAGGCCUCCAGAGCUGCAGUUACGCUCCGCAAUCAAGUUGCCACCACUACAGUUGUUAAUAAUUUGGCUCACAAUACCUCCCUGGCUCUCAGACAGUCAGCAACACAUCUUCUUGAUGUCCGAACAGCCGUGCUUUCCUUACAGACUCAGAAGGAUAUGGUAUGGGAAGAAUUACAAUUGUUACAAAGAUUUUUAGUAGGUGUCAUGUCAACUUCCCAGACAUUUGUGUAACUCCAUACCCCUGUAAAAAUUGUAAUCAUUAUAAAAACUUGUCACAAUAUAUAUGGAAGACUUGGGAUCCCUUGUUCAAACAACAUCUCUUAGAAUUAACCCAUACUAUUGUUCAAAUUGAUACUCAGGCAUUAGAUGUUAUCUCAAUGGAUAAUAUUUGGAAAACCCUGUGGGAUGGUAUUUUGGCUGGAUGGACACAAAUAAGUGUUUGGGUGAGAGGCUGAUUCUUUCUUUGCCCUAUGUCUUGACAGUCUUGGGAAUAAUUUUGUUAUUGUUUGUUUUAAAAAUUAAACAUCUGGCUCAAAGAAGAUAUGGCCAGACUCACAAAAAUGUGGUCAUCUUGGCCAAGGCUCUGGAGUCAAAGACAAAAGGGGGAACUAUGGGAGAAGUUCAAGCCUGGCUGGACCAGGUGUGCAGCACUCCUGACUUCUGAGCAAACUCAAAGACCUCUCUGAGGCUGAGCUAACUCACCUAAGUGCAUAGAGGCUCGGUCUAACAGGCUGUACCUCCGCCCCCAGUCCAUGACUCCCUCACCGUGCCCAAGAAAAAUCACCUCACCAUGUCUAGCCAAUAAGAUAUCACCCAAUGUUCUCCACUAAUGUAUGGAUCUGCAUAACCUAUAAGAAAGUGCCAUGUAAUCAAAUGCUACUCCCAUGCUCUUCCCUCGUGGUUGUCUGCACGUAAGCUAUAUAAGCCUGUGCAUUUCCUAAGUAAAGUGGAAGCGUUCCAGAAACCUCCCCGGGAGUCUGCCUGGUGAUUCUGCACCUUACCCUCCCAGUCCAAGCUCCUGAACCAAACUCUGCAGACCAAACAGCGGACAACAAUAGGUAUGUGCUACCAUGCCUAGCUUUGCCCAUUUCUUUUCACUAAUUCUGGCCAGGCCAUUCCCAGAGCAUUCUAAAUUAAAUUAAAUUUAUAGGUCUCAGUAUAUUAUAUACCUAAAUAUACCAAUAAAAUUAAUAAAUUUAAAAAAUUUAUAGUUCUGAGGAUUUGAAUUAAGUUUUGUAUGAUCUUUUCUGGCUCUGGGACUGUAUGAUUCUCUCACUGAAUGAACAGGAGUGCUUACCAUGUACUGAGUGCCACAGACACAAAACUGAGUAAAAUCUAGCAAGAUUGAUAAAGUCCAGCAAGUGAUCACAGUGUAAUGUAAAGUUUAUAAAAAGUUACUGAGAUCCACUAUUCUGGAUAUUCAACUUCAUUACCAAUUAUACAACUUUUUUUUUCUUUUUUUUUGAGACCGGGUCUCACUAUGUAGUGAGACUG
Molecule: long non-coding RNA, 2253 nt
Organism: Fukomys damarensis (Damara mole-rat)
Lineage: Eukaryota; Metazoa; Chordata; Mammalia; Rodentia; Bathyergidae
Exons: 5
Source: RefSeq, a predicted model, not a curated record